Molecule: unclassified non-coding RNA, 209 nt
Filed under: Hevea brasiliensis (rubber tree)
Lineage: Eukaryota; Viridiplantae; Streptophyta; Magnoliopsida; Malpighiales; Euphorbiaceae
Source: RNAcentral
GGCCGACGAAGAUGAGGAUCCGAAGAUUUCCUCAAAUCCCACCCGCUUCCCGCAUACCCCUGCUGACAUAUUGAACUUAAACCCUGGGGUUUUGUUAUUAUUCUUAUAGUAGCCCAAAAAUCUCAACCAACAAUCCACCAAAAAAGGGGAAAAAUAAUUAAGAAAAAAAAACUGGGAUCUAAAUAUGGAAUCCAGAAAUUCAAUCAAAU